AUUGCAGAACACAUUGAACAUCGACACCUUGAACGCAUAUGGCGGCCUCGGGUCCAUCCCGGGGCCACGCCCGUCUGAGGGUCGGCG
This 87-nucleotide ribosomal RNA is filed under the name Chondrina avenacea. RNAcentral describes it as "partial 5.8S ribosomal RNA". It matches the Rfam family "5.8S ribosomal RNA", at positions 71 to 154 of the family's 154-position model. Rfam says of the family: 5.8S ribosomal RNA (5.8S rRNA) is a component of the large subunit of the eukaryotic ribosome. It is transcribed by RNA polymerase I as part of the 45S precursor that also contains 18S and 28S rRNA. Functionally, it is thought that 5.8S rRNA may be involved in ribosome translocation. The record is from RNAcentral. Lineage: Eukaryota; Metazoa; Mollusca; Gastropoda; Stylommatophora; Chondrinidae.